RNAcentral lists this transfer RNA (67 nucleotides) under Trichocoleus sp. FACHB-69. Its description in RNAcentral is "tRNA-Ile". It matches the Rfam family "tRNA", at positions 6 to 65 of the family's 71-position model. From Rfam's summary of the family: Transfer RNA (tRNA) molecules are approximately 80 nucleotides in length. Their secondary structure includes four short double-helical elements and three loops (D, anti-codon, and T loops). Further hydrogen bonds mediate the characteristic L-shaped molecular structure. tRNAs have two regions of fundamental functional importance: the anti-codon, which is responsible for specific mRNA codon recognition, and the 3' end, to which the tRNAs corresponding amino acid is attached (by aminoacyl-tRNA synthetases). tRNAs cope with the degeneracy of the genetic code in two manners: having more than one tRNA (with a specific anti-codon) for a particular amino acid; and 'wobble' base-pairing, i.e. permitting non-standard base-pairing at the 3rd anti-codon position. The record is from RNAcentral. Lineage: Bacteria; Bacillati; Cyanobacteriota; Cyanophyceae; Leptolyngbyales; Trichocoleusaceae. RNAcentral also lists the same sequence under 1 other name.
ACUAGCCGAAUUGGUACAGGCGCUUGACUGAUAAUCAAGAUUAUGCAGGUUCAAAUCCUGCGUAUAA